Molecule: ribosomal RNA, 368 nt
Filed under: uncultured bacterium
Lineage: Bacteria
Description: bacterial SSU rRNA
Rfam family: Bacterial small subunit ribosomal RNA
Source: RNAcentral
CAGCACUUGACAUCCAACUAACGAAAUAGAGAUAUAUUAGGUGCCCUUCGGGGAAAGUUGAGACAGGUGGUGCAUGGUUGUCGUCAGCUCGUGUCGUGAGAUGUUGGGUUAAGUCCCGCAACGAGCGCAACCCCUGCCAUUAGUUGCUACGCAAGAGCACUCUAAUGGGACCGCUACCGACAAGGUGGAGGAAGGUGGGGAUGACGUCAAAUCAUCAUGCCCCUUAUGUGCUGGGCUACACACGUAAUACAAUGGUCGUUAACAAAGAGAAGCAAUACCGCGAGGUGGAGCAAAACUUCAAAAACGAUCUCAGUUCGGACUGCAGGCUGCAACUCGCCUGCACGAAGUUGGAAUUGCUAGUAAUCGUG